ACUCCUACGGGAGGCAGCAGUGGGGAAUAUUGCACAAUGGGCGCAAGCCUGAUGCAGCAACGCCGCGUGAGCGAAGAAGGUCUUCGGAUCGUAAAGCUCUUUUCUUAGGGAAGAAAACUGACGGUACCUAAGGAAUAAGCACCGGCUAAAUACGUGCCAGCAGCCGCGGUAAUACGUAUGGUGCAAGCGUUAUCCGGAAUCACUGGGCGUAAAGGGGUGCGUAGGCGGUUUUGCAAGUCAGAAGUGAAAGGCUACGGCUCAACCGUAGUAAGCUUUUGAAACUGCAAGACUAGAGUGCAGGAGAGGAAAGUGGAAUUCCUAGUGUAGAGGUGAAAUUCGUAGAUAUUAGGAGGAACACCAGUGGCGAAGGCGACUUUCUGGACUGUAACUGACGCUGAUGCACGAAAGCGUGGGGAGCGAACAGGAUUAGAUACCCUGGUAGCACAGAG
Molecule: ribosomal RNA, 449 nt
Filed under: uncultured bacterium
Lineage: Bacteria
Description: bacterial SSU rRNA
Rfam family: Bacterial small subunit ribosomal RNA
Source: RNAcentral